CAUUUAAAACAUUUAUGAAAAUAUAAUCUUGCAAUUUAUCCUGCAAGGAUGUGCUGAUUUUGUUAUUAAUCUUUCUUUUAAUGUAUAAUUAGCAUUAUUGCUUACAACAAUAGUAACAAUAAUAUAUAAUCAAGUCGAUAUAAAUAUAGAAAAUAAAACUAAAAUAUUAAUCGAUGCUACUUUUGGGCGUCUGUCUCCAUGGAGACGAAGCGUAGUUUCGCUUUUCUCUGGAGAAACUAUUGCCUCCACUGUUAAAUAUUCUGAUUAUAAAUAUAAUCAAAGACUGAGUAAUACAAAAGGGGACUUUAAUAUGAUGAAUAUGAGCUGUUUUAAAGGCGAUAUAUCAGGUUUACAGUUUAACGGCCGAGAAUCGAAGGUUAAUCGCUGUCUGGAAAACACCUCAGGGCUUCCGUAGUUCAAGGUAUUCUAUGUAAACAUGAGCCACGCUCUCUGCAAAGCCUCUAAUCAUGCUGUCAGUCACCUAAAGGCCUCAGAAAUCAUGCAAGUCAGGUAACAGUAGCUAAUAAGGGCUAAUAGAUGUAUAUGAUGAUAAUGAUAACGCAUGAUGAUGAUUAAAAUAAGAUUAUUUUGCUUGUUUAACGUGCUAACGGGAUUGUUAAGUGCUUUUGGUCUUGUAUUGUAAGCGGUUUAACAUUUUUAUCUUCACAGCAGUUCAUAUGUGUAUGAACAAUCAUUUAAUGCAUACUUUAGAUUUAAUAAACAGUGAAAUCAGCAUUUAUUUGACCGAAAUAAUCAGCAAGCCGGCUGUCAAGCGUAGUAAAUGAUCAUAUGAAGAUUUCAGAUGCAAAAACUCUGAAAUUUGUAGCAAAAUUAACAUUUUUCUCAACUUCCUUUGUUUAAGUUAAGUUAUUUUACUUUAAAGACCAGUAAAAGAACGUAUGCUUUGCCAUGAAGGUUAUUACUGGACAUGUAUACAGGAGUUUCAGAAAAAUACAAAUUUUAUUGGAAGAUUUCGGACAUCAUUUAGAGAUUUUUGCAUCUAAACUCUUCAUAGUAAUGUCUGUAAACCAAAAUAUGAUAUAUUUGGUCUGACCAACAAUAAAACUUUUACAUGUGACCUUAAUAACAUGUGACUUCAUGAGCAGUAAAAACUUCCAGAAGCUCAAUUAAUAAGCAUAUAUAUUCAAUUUGUCUUCUUUCAAUUCAUUCAAUUUGUCUCUGUUUAUUUAUUUAUUUAUUUUUUGAAAUAAACAAGCUCUGGUUCCUAUUCUUACAUAUACAUACACACGUGGUGGCGAUAAUGCACCUUUAAUGCUGUUAUGCAGUAUAACCGAAGAAGAAUAACUUCCGAAGCAUUUCUUGAGUAGGCGGGACUAAUUAAGAUGCAGCAAUGCCAUUGGCUGUCAAUGUGAUUAAUAUCCGACACCUGCACGGAGCAAACGCUGGAAGAUUGUCUGUUUGAAGACGCGAGCACGAGUGGAUGUCUGGAUCAUUGAGCUCCAGGGAUGCAGGACAACCAGGAUACUUUCCCAAUUGUUUAUUUCUCCAUGAUUGUUUCUCCAUGUUGGCUGCUCCACAAACUCUUGUAUCUGACGGUACAACGGUAUCAGCUUGGACCCGUUCUUUGGUUUAAAGUGUUACUGAACUACGUUCAUGGUGUCCUCCACUAGCACUGCACAUUUUGCAUGUCUCAUUUCGAAGUCUUUGUAUUUAUGAGACGUGCAAAUUGUGUUGUGUUGGAGGGAUCCUGGAGUGUGGUUGAGCUGCACUGGCCCAAAGCUUUAAGCAAUCUGUGUUGAAUGCAUUGUCUGUAAUUUAUGAUGUUUGUGCAAAAUAAAAGUUUAAAUGUUA
Non-coding RNA from Danio rerio (zebrafish), 1812 nucleotides. The record is from RefSeq and is a predicted model, not a curated record. NCBI's taxonomy places the organism in Eukaryota, Metazoa, Chordata, Actinopteri, Cypriniformes, Danionidae.